RNAcentral lists this ribosomal RNA (509 nucleotides) under Pseudomonas aeruginosa. Its description in RNAcentral is "bacterial SSU rRNA". It matches the Rfam family "Bacterial small subunit ribosomal RNA", at positions 108 to 613 of the family's 1533-position model. Lineage: Bacteria; Pseudomonadati; Pseudomonadota; Gammaproteobacteria; Pseudomonadales; Pseudomonadaceae. The record is from RNAcentral.
GNNUAAUGCCUAGGAAUCUGCCUGGUAGUGGGGGAUAACGUCCGGAAACGGGCGCUAAUACCGCAUACGUCCUGAGGGAGAAAGUGGGGGAUCUUCGGACCUCACGCUAUCAGAUGAGCCUAGGUCGGAUUAGCUAGUUGGUGGGGUAAAGGCCUACCAAGGCGACGAUCCGNAACUGGUCUGAGAGGAUGAUCAGUCACACUGGAACUGANACACGGUCCAGACUCCUACGGGAGGCAGCGGUGGGGAAUAUUGGACAAUGGGCGAAAGCCUGAUCCAGCCAUGCCGCGUGUGUGAAGAAGGUCUUCGGAUUGUAAAGCACUUUAAGUUGGGAGGAAGGGCAGUNAGUUAAUACCUUGCUGUUUUGACGUUACCAACAGAAUAAGCACCGGCUAACUUCGUGCCAGCAGCCGCGGUAAUACCAAGGGUGCNANCGUUAAUCGGAAUUACUGGGCGUAAAGCGCGCGUAGGUGGUUCAGCAAGUUGGAUGUGAAAUCCCCGGGCUCNNC